ACAUGAGUGAUCCAGAACCCUGCAGAAUGAAACACACUGAAGAUACUGAAGAACAAAGAGACCUGAUGGACAUGAACAAGAAAAGAAAGCUAAAAAAAUGUCAAAAAAGAUUCACAUGUAAAUCAAGGCUGAAGAUCCACAGCGGAGAGAAACCUUACACCUGUGAUCCAUGCAGGAAGAGUUUCUCCGUUCUGAAAUCAUCUGUCUUCUCAUUCUGAAGAAGAGAGCAGAAAACUCACAGUGAUGAAAAACCUUUCAAUCGUUCAGGAGCUGAAGAAGAGACCACUUCUAACAGAGACAUGAAUCUGAAAUUAAUGUUUAACUCGUUCUUCAUUGUUUUUCACUGAUGUCUCGUUCAUUUUCACUUUACUUAAUUUUUGUUCUUCAAGUAAUAAUAGAUUAAACUCAUUACUCAUUUUAUUUACA
Long non-coding RNA from Megalobrama amblycephala (Wuchang bream), 426 nucleotides. RefSeq lists it as uncharacterized. The transcript is spliced from 2 exons. The record is from RefSeq and is a predicted model, not a curated record. Lineage: Eukaryota; Metazoa; Chordata; Actinopteri; Cypriniformes; Xenocyprididae.